This 433-nucleotide ribosomal RNA is filed under the name uncultured bacterium. RNAcentral's name for it is "bacterial SSU rRNA". It matches the Rfam family "Bacterial small subunit ribosomal RNA", at positions 958 to 1392 of the family's 1533-position model. The record is from RNAcentral.
AACGCGAAGAACCUUACCUACCCUUGACAUGCCAGGAAGUCUGCUGAGAGGUGGACGUGCCCGAAAGGGAGCCUGGACACAGGUGCUGCAUGGCUGUCGUCAGCUCGUGUCGUGAGAUGUUGGGUUAAGUCCCGCAACGAGCGCAACCCUUGUCACUAGUUGCUACGGUAACGGGCACUCUAGUGAGACUGCCGGUGACAAACCGGAGGAAGGUGGGGAUGACGUCAAGUCCUCAUGGCCCUUAUGGGUAGGGCUUCACACGUCAUACAAUGGCGCAUACAGAGGGCUGCCAACCCGCGAGGGGGAGCCAAUCCCAGAAAGUGCGUCGUAGUCCGGAUUGCAGUCUGCAACUCGACUGCAUGAAGUCGGAAUCGCUAGUAAUCGCGGAUCAGCAAUGUCGCGGUGAAUACGUUCCCGGGUCUUGUACACACCG